RNAcentral lists this ribosomal RNA (330 nucleotides) under uncultured Clostridiaceae bacterium. Its description in RNAcentral is "partial 16S ribosomal RNA". The record is from RNAcentral. Lineage: Bacteria; Bacillati; Bacillota; Clostridia; Eubacteriales; Clostridiaceae.
GGAGUUUGGACCGUGUCUCAGUUCCAAUGUGGCCGAUCACCCUCUCAGGUCGGCUACUGAUCGUUGCCUUGGUGAGCCGUUACCUCACCAACUAGCUAAUCAGACGCAGGCCCAUCCUUAGCCGAUAAAUCUUUGACGGAUAUAACAUGUGAUACAUCCGUAUUAUGGGGUUUUAAUCAUCGUUUCCAAUGGCUAUCCCCCUGCUAAGGGCAGGUUGCCUACGCGUUACUCACCCGUCCGCCGCUUUCCACUUAAAAGAUUCUACCGAAGUUUCAUCACAUAAGCUUCUCGCUCGACUUGCAUGUGUUAGGCACGCCGCCAGCGUUCAUC